GAUGAAGAACGUAGCGAAAUGCGAUAAGUAAUGUGAAUUGCAGAAUUCAGUGAAUCAUCGAAUCUUUGAACGCACAUUGCGCCCGCCAGUAUUCUGGCGGGCAUGCCUGUUCGAGCGUCAUUUCAACCAUCAAGCCCCCGGCUUGUGUUGGGGACCUGCGGCUGCCGCAGGCCCUGAAGACCAGUGGCGGGCUCGCUAGUCACUCCGAGCGUAGUAAUACAUCUCGCUCAGGGCGUGCUGCGGGUUCCGGCCGUUAAAAAGCCUUAUUUACCCAAGGUUGACCUCGGAUCAGGUAGGAAGACCCGCUGAACUUAAGCAUAUCAAUAAGCGGAGGA
Molecule: unclassified non-coding RNA, 335 nt
Filed under: soil metagenome
Description: partial contains 5.8S ribosomal RNA, internal transcribed spacer 2, and large subunit ribosomal RNA
Rfam family: 5.8S ribosomal RNA (bases 1-120)
Source: RNAcentral